Molecule: long non-coding RNA, 4299 nt
Organism: Mesocricetus auratus (golden hamster)
Lineage: Eukaryota; Metazoa; Chordata; Mammalia; Rodentia; Cricetidae
Exons: 2
Source: RefSeq, a predicted model, not a curated record
GCGCUCCUGUGCAGGGGAGUGGGGAGAAAGGGGAGCAGUCAGGGGCUGGGAGAUUUCCAAAGGAAGUUUCUCUUGGUCUCAAAGUCCUGCUGAACUUUGGAGGCCUGUACCCAGGUGAGCAGCAACUCAUAUCCCAGCCCUUCGAUCCCAGUGUGCUUUCUACCGCUGUGAUAAAACGCCAUGACCAACGACAACAUCAGGAAGAAAGGGUUUGUUUCUGCUUACAAGUCACUGAGGGAAGUUGGGACAGGACCACAGGAGGAACCUGGAGGCAGGAACUGAAUGAAGCAGAGACCAUGGGGGAAUGAGGCUUUGGCUUGCUCAGCCUACUUUCUUAUAAAAUCUAGGAGGACUACCUUCCCAGAGGUGACAGAGCUUCCAAUAGGCUGGGCCCUACCAUAUUAAUCUUAAAAAAGAAAAAAGAAAAAAAAAAAAGAAAAAAGAAGCCCCAACAGAACUGCAUACAGGCCAAACUGAUGGAGAUCUUUUCUCAAUUGUGCUGCUUCUUCCCAGAUAUUUUAUCUUGUGCCAACUUGACAUAAAACUACCUAGGACACCUUCUUUGCUCUCCUCUCUGUUUCACUCAGCCUAGUAGGCAAAUUGGGAGGUGGGUGUCCUCUAAGAUGCUCCUCUGCCUUAGGGAGGGCUGUGCUGCUGCAGAGCGCUUGGUGGGUUAGUGCAGGUGGCUCCUGCUGCCCCUCAUGCUUCCCAACACUGUGAUAUUUGGGAAGUCAGUACCGAGUCCAGUCCUGACUCUAGGUUGGAAUCCCUAGCCAGGACACAGGCAUGGGAGCAGCAUCACUACUUGCUUGGGAGGCCAGUCAGGCCUACUGGCCUCCCCUCCUGGGUAAGGUUUGCUUCCCUGUGGGCCAAAUAGAAUGCCCAAUCACACUGAUGCAGAACUGAGCUUGCCUCGGGGCCACACUGAGACUCUGGUUUCUAUCUGCAUACCUCCUUUACCAGUGAACAACCAUUCCCCAGAGCCCAGCACAAGGACAUUAAGUAAGAGGAACCAACACAGAGUGUGUUAAUGGAGCUCAUAAUAGGACAAUGCCAUACAGGUGACAGGACUGCUCACAGAAAGCCUUCCUCUGAGAAGAUUUAGGCCAUGACCCAGCUAACUGGAUGGUAAGCAUCCUUGGAUCCUGGGAGUAGUCCCAGUUAUUUGGAACAGCAGAGAGGCUAGAGCGGGGAAAGCAGCGCUGCAAGAGCGGGCUGGAGAAGGGACCUGGAAACAGAUAAGGAGUGGCGUCUCCCUACAGCACAGUGAGGAGAAUGGACUCAGGGACUGUGAGGAAGCAGAGGGUUAGGAAGAGAGCAGGGUGCUGGACACCCAUGAGUGCAUUUAAGGCAGACAAAAGGAGCUAUCUUAUUCUUGGGCAUCUUUAGAUUGGCCAUGCUAAUUUGACACCCUAGCCAGAAUGCAUUGUGGUUAUUAGAACCAGGUACUUUGGAGAUGAAUUACACAUGCUAAACCAACCUACACAACCUACUGUCACCUUACAAAUGAGGAGGUUCUAACAGCUCCCUUUAUCCAAGGCUUCACCUGCAGUCCAGAAAUAUUAAAUGGAAAAUCAGAGAAGUUACAGAUGGUUAUGAGCUGUUACUUGGGUGCUGGGAAUCAGAUUCAGGUCUUCUGGAAAAGCAGCCAGUGCUCUUAACUUUUGAGCCAUGUCUCCAGCCCAAUAGUCACUAAGCUUUAAGUUGUGUGUGUUUCUACCUCACCUAGGGUGUGAACCAUCACUUUGUCCACCGUGACUGCCAUGUUUAUGCCACCUUCCCAUUAAGCACUUAGCAAUUAAUCUCAGCAGGUUUCCUGACAAGGGUACAAUAGGGCGUGGCAUGAUCUGAGGCUUCAGAUAUCAACCUGGGUCGCUGGUGAUUCUUAGAAGCAUUUCAAGGAGGGGUGGGGACCACUGGAAUCAGUAUGGCCCAGUGAUUCUUGGCAGUAUUGCACAUGCAACCAGACUGGGUUGGGGUGAGGGGCAGUUGGGGUCAGUAUGGCCUAGUGAUACCUGGCACUAUUGCAUGCAAUCAGAUAUAUGCUUUAGGAAAUGGUUGCUACACAGGAUGUCCAGUAGCCCCCUUCCCACAUCAGAGACACCCAAAGGGCAGGCUUGUUGGAAAUAACAACAGAGGCAUUUUUUUUUAAUUCAUUAAGGUAAGAGUCUUGGUACCCUUUCCAGUGACAAACACUUAUCUUAGUAAGAAAUCCUCUCGAGGAAUUCGAAGGCAGGGAGGCAAGGUUGGGUUACCCAGUUGCAGCUGAAGGAGUAAAUGGUGAUGGACCCAGACUUCUUUGUGUUUGGAUGGAAAACACAGCUAACUCUGUGACUGUCAGAUGGCAGAGUCUCUCAGGGCACAUGGUGGUGACUUUAAGGCUCCUGAGCACCACAUGUGGGAAAGUCCCAGAAGAACUCAUGAGUUGCCUUGGACCCACAGGCCUUGAGUUGAGUAUGAUAUGCAUUAUGACAGCCACAGCAUGGGGUGUGGGUUUGACAAGGGCAAGAAGUGUUUGUCUUGUCAAGAAAAACCCAUUGUGGCAACAGAGCAUGGGCAAGGAGAGACGGGGGACUCAUGGGAGGGAUGGUAAGGCUGAGCUCCAGGUGGGUUUUAUCCUAGAAUUGACUGAAAAAGAACCAACUUGACAUGGUUAAAACAGCAGCUGCAAUGGGGACUCUUUCUUCAAGCGCCCCUACCACCUCCACCCCCUGCCACCUUUGGUGUGCCAACUGCAGUAGUCUGUGUUGUGCAAUAGGAAUUUUGGACUGUGCUUCUACUUAGAACAAGACAGCUCAGGCAGAAGCUCAGUUCUUGAAGAGCAGCAAGCUGUUGCUUUCUACAGGAAAUUGGUAAGUGAAAUCACUUUAGGAUUCACAGCUUAAUGGACUACAGUCAGAAAACCACCCACAGUUCUGCUGGGCACGCUUCAAUUGCUGCUUCUGCUCACAGAGAAGGGAAACAAAUCGCUUGCUUCAUCAAGAUAAGCCACAGUAGAGAUCUAUGGGCCAUCUGUGCAUCUGUGGGCGUGGUUCUCUUGGACCUCCUGAGACUGUGAUGCUCGUUGCUGGCAACCCCAGAGAGUAUCAAGGCACCCAGCACAUUACUAACCCUCUGCUUUGUGGAAGGCAGAACAUCAACAGUGAAGUAUGGAUAGCAGAAGAGAAUGUUGGCCCAAUCAGAGUCCUGCUUUCUCUCAUCAGUGUCUCUCUGGUGACACUUGGGAAUGUUUUUCAGCUCUCUUCAAAACACCCAGUUAUUAUUUCCACAAGAAACAGACUGGAAGAGCAUCUCCCUCAUUUCCACCUCUGCCCAAGUCCAGAAAUGUUCUAUCGAUCACUGUUGACAAAGAAAGCUCAGCAAUUCAGUUGCCCAGUACCUUCUCAGAUAUAUAGUCUUCCAAGGAUGAUUUCUUCUGGGGAGGCCCAUUCACUGGCACCCACCAUUCACACAUGGCUGGUCAUACUGGUGCUUUCAGGGUUGGACAACUGCGGAAGCUGGUGGAAGCAGAGCCGUCCCGGAGCUUCAGGAUCACAGGUUUUAAAGCCUUUCUUUUGAGCACUAACACAAAGGCGCUUGUGAAGUGGUUGGCCUCACUGCCAUAGGCUUGUAUGGAGAGGCAGAUAAAGGGAGCAGGAUGCGGGGCCAGUUUAUCAACUUCACCAGAGAGACAAAAGGACAGAUUAAAGGUCCUCUGGAAGCAGGAGGAAGAGUGAACACUUGCGAUUUGGAGACUUUUUUGCAAGGGACUUGGGGUUGAUGAAGAGGAUGCAUGGCAGGAGUUUGGAGGUUCUCUCUAACCUUGUGAGCAUCCUACCUUCAAGCACAGACACUGGGAGAAGCUGCAUUUGAAGGGGAAAAAGUACAAAGCUUUGGCCCUUCUGUAACUACUUCGCUGGAAGUUUGAGGCCCCCACAGCUUCUUCCCAGAAUUCAAACUCCCCUUAGCGCACAUCCCAAGCUCUUCUCAGCCUCAGGCUCCAGUUUUACCUAUCAUCUCCAGUGCCAAUUCUAUGGGCAUUCUGCACUAGGCACUGUGUGCAUCUGAGGCUGUCCAGCCAAGGCCUGCUCUAUCCCUGCACCCAGGAGGCACUGGAAUGGUACCCUAAAAGGUAACAUCACAGUCAACAGUGAUAUUAAUAAGAACUGAACAAACAAGCAGUUAGUUUGCAAUUAUAAUUGCAGAUGCACAUCAGCAACACAGUUACAGCUACUUUUUUCACAGCCUUUUUCUGUCUUAAUGUUGGACACCGUGUAAAUUAUAGGGUUCUGAAUAUUGUUUGCUAAUAUUUCCACAAAA